AGAGCGAACGCUGGCGGCAUGCUUAACACAUGCAAGUCGCACGGCUGGGGCAACCCAGCAGUGGCGGACGGGUGAGUAACGCGUAGGUAUCUAUCUCCGGGUGGGGGACAACUGUGGGAAACUACAGCUAAUACCGCAUGAUGCCCGAGGGCCAAAGGCGCAAGUCGCCUGGAGAGGAGCCUGCGUACGAUUAGCUUGUUGGCGGGGUAACAGCCCACCAAGGCGACGAUCGUUAGCUGGUCUGAGAGGAUGAUCAGCCACACUGGGACUGAGACACGGCCCAGACUCCUACGGAGCAGCAGUGGGGAAUAUUGGACAAUGGGCGCAAGCCUGAUCCAGCAAUGCCGCGUGAGUGAAGAAGGUCUUCGGAUUGUAAAGCUCUUUCGACGGGACGAUGAUGACGGUACCCGUAGAAGAAGCCCGGCUAACUUCGUGCCAGCAGCCGC
This 446-nucleotide ribosomal RNA is filed under the name uncultured bacterium. RNAcentral's name for it is "SSU rRNA". It matches the Rfam family "Bacterial small subunit ribosomal RNA", at positions 26 to 518 of the family's 1533-position model. The record is from RNAcentral.